RNAcentral lists this ribosomal RNA (488 nucleotides) under uncultured Dysgonomonas sp. RNAcentral's name for it is "bacterial SSU rRNA". It matches the Rfam family "Bacterial small subunit ribosomal RNA", at positions 28 to 508 of the family's 1533-position model. The record is from RNAcentral. Lineage: Bacteria; Pseudomonadati; Bacteroidota; Bacteroidia; Bacteroidales; Dysgonomonadaceae.
GAUGAACGCUAGCGAUAGGCCUAACACAUGCAAGUCGAGGGGCAGCAUAGAGUAGCAAUACUUUGAUGGCGACCGGCGCACGGGUGAGUAACACGUAUGCAACCUACCUACAUCAGGGGAAUAACCCGGAGAAAUUCGGACUAAUACCGCAUAAUACAGGGAUGCCGCAUGGCAAUAUUUGUUAAAGAUUUAUCGGAUGUAGAUGGGCAUGCGUUCCAUUAGCUAGUUGGUAAGGUAACGGCUUACCAAGGCAACGAUGGAUAGGGGAACUGAGAGGUUUGUCCCCCACACUGGAACUGAGACACGGACCAGACUCCUACGGGAGGCAGCAGUGAGGAAUAUUGGUCAAUGGACGAGAGUCUGAACCAGCCAAAUCGCGUGAAGGAAGACUGCCCUACGGGUUGUAAACUUCUUUUGUACAGGAAUAAAAGACAUUACGUGUAAUGUAUUGCAUGUACUGUACGAAUAAGCAUCGGCUAACUCCGUGC